UGGACGGAGAACUAAUUGU
RNAcentral lists this microRNA (19 nucleotides) under Tribolium castaneum (red flour beetle). RNAcentral's name for it is "tca-miR-3878-5p". The record is from miRBase by way of RNAcentral. Lineage: Eukaryota; Metazoa; Arthropoda; Insecta; Coleoptera; Tenebrionidae.